RNAcentral lists this ribosomal RNA (548 nucleotides) under uncultured Glomeromycotina. RNAcentral describes it as "SSU rRNA". It matches the Rfam family "Eukaryotic small subunit ribosomal RNA", at positions 548 to 1098 of the family's 1831-position model. Lineage: Eukaryota; Fungi; Glomeromycota. The record is from RNAcentral.
UUGGAGGGCAAGUCUGGUGCCAGCAGCCGCGGUAAUUCCAGCUCCAAUAGCGUAUAUUAAAGUUGUUGCAGUUAAAAAGCUCGUAGUUGAAUUUCGGGAUCAAUUUAUUGGUCGUGCUAUUGUACGUACUGGUAUUAUUGAUUCCUACCUUCUGACGAACCAUGAUGUCAUUAAUUUGGUGUCAUGGGGAAUCAGGACUGUUACUUUGAAAAAAUUAGAGUGUUUAAAGCAGGCUCACGCUUGAAUACAUUAGCAUGGAAUAACGAAAUAGGACGUUUGAUUCUAUUUUGUUGGUUUCUAGGAUCGACGUAAUGAUUAAUAGGGAUAGUUGGGGGCAUUAGUAUUCAAUUGUCAGAGGUGAAAUUCUUGGAUUUAUUGAAGACUAACUACUGCGAAAGCAUUUGCCAAGGAUGUUUUCAUUAAUCAAGAACGAAAGUUAGGGGAUCGAAGACGAUCAGAUACCGUCGUAGUCCUAACCAUAAACUAUGCCGACUAGGGAUCGGAUGAUGUUAAUUUUUUAAUGACUCGUUCGGCGCCUUACGGGAAAC